GACGAACGCUGGCGGCGUGCUUAACCCAUGCAAUUCGAACGUAAAGGCCCUGCUUUUUUGUGGUGCUCGAGUGGCGAACGGGUGAGUAACACGUGAGUAACCUGCCCUUGACUUUGGGAUAACUUCAGGAAACUGGGGCUAAUACCGGAUAGGAGCUCCUGCUGCAUGGUGGGGGUUGGAAAGUUUCGGCGGUUGGGGAUGGACUCGCGGCUUAUCAGCUUGUUGGUGGGGUAGUGGCUUACCAAGGCUUUGACGGGUAGCCGGCAUGAGAGGGUGACCGGACACAUUGGGACUGAGAUACGGCCCAGACUCCUACGGGAGGCAGCAGUGGGGAAUAUUGCACAAUGGGCGGAAGCCUGAUGCAGCAACGCCGCGUGAGGGAUGACGGCCUUCGGGUUGUAAACCGCUUUCGCCUGUGACGAAGCGUGAGUGACGGUAAUGGGUAAAGAAGCACCGGCUAACUACGUG
Molecule: ribosomal RNA, 468 nt
Filed under: uncultured bacterium
Lineage: Bacteria
Description: partial 16S ribosomal RNA
Rfam family: Bacterial small subunit ribosomal RNA
Source: RNAcentral